RNAcentral lists this ribosomal RNA (529 nucleotides) under uncultured beta proteobacterium. RNAcentral describes it as "bacterial SSU rRNA". It matches the Rfam family "Bacterial small subunit ribosomal RNA", at positions 337 to 860 of the family's 1533-position model. The record is from RNAcentral. Lineage: Bacteria; Pseudomonadati; Pseudomonadota; Betaproteobacteria.
UCCUACGGGAGGCAGCAGUGGGGAAUUUUGGACAAUGGGGGCAACCCUGAUCCAGCAAUGCCGCGUGAGUGAAGAAGGCCUUCGGGUUGUAAAGCUCUUUUGUCAGGGAAGAAACGGUCCGGGCUAAUAUCCUGGGCUAAUGACGGUACCUGAAGAAUAAGCACCGGCUAACUACGUGCCAGCAGCCGCGGUAAUACGUAGGGUGCAAGCGUUAAUCGGAAUUACUGGGCGUAAAGCGUGCGCAGGCGGUUGUGCAAGACAGAUGUGAAAUCCCCGGGCUUAACCUGGGAAUUGCAUUUGUGACUGCACGGCUAGAGUGUGUCAGAGGGGGGUAGAAUUCCACGUGUAGCAGUGAAAUGCGUAGAGAUGUGGAGGAAUACCGAUGGCGAAGGCAGCCCCCUGGGAUAACACUGACGCUCAUGCACGAAAGCGUGGGGAGCAAACAGGAUUAGAUACCCUGGUAGUCCACGCCCUAAACGAUGUCAACUAGUUGUCGGGUCUUAAUUGACUUGGUAACGCAGUAACGCGU